This 241-nucleotide ribosomal RNA is filed under the name uncultured bacterium. Its description in RNAcentral is "partial 16S ribosomal RNA". It matches the Rfam family "Bacterial small subunit ribosomal RNA", at positions 537 to 776 of the family's 1533-position model. The record is from RNAcentral.
AGCGUUGUUCGGAUUUACUGGGCGUAAAGGGCGCGUAGGCGGUCAGCACAAGUCAGUUGUGAAAUCUCCGGGCUUAACUCGGAAAGGUCAACUGAUACUGUGCGACUAGAGUGCAGAAGGGGCAACUGGAAUUCUCGGUGUAGCGGUGAAAUGCGUAGAUAUCGAGAGGAACACCUGCGGCGAAGGCGGGUUGCUGGGCUGACACUGACGCUGAUGCGCGAAAGCCAGGGGAGCGAACGGG